Molecule: ribosomal RNA, 437 nt
Filed under: Marisa cornuarietis
Lineage: Eukaryota; Metazoa; Mollusca; Gastropoda; Architaenioglossa; Ampullariidae
Description: SSU rRNA
Rfam family: Eukaryotic small subunit ribosomal RNA
Source: RNAcentral
CCAGUAGUCAUAUGCUUGUCUCAAAGAUUAAGCCAUGCAUGUCUAAGUUCACACCCUCGUACGGUGAAACCGCGAAUGGCUCAUUAAAUCAGUCGAGGUUCCUUAGAUGAUCCAUUUCUACUUGGAUAACUGUGGCAAUUCUAGAGCUAAUACAUGCAACCAAGCUCCGACCCGGUGUCAAAGCCGGGAAAGAGCGCUUUUAUUAGUUCAAAACCAGUCGGGGUCUCGGCCCCGUCCCUUUUGGUGACUCUGGAUAACUUUGUGCCGAUCGCAUGGCCUCGAGCCGGCGACGCAUCUUUCAAAUGUCUGCCCUAUCAAAUGUCGAUGGUACGUGAUAGGCCUACCAUGUUGACUACGGGUAACGGGGAAUCAGGGUUCGAUUCCGGAGAGGGAGCAUGAGAAAGGGCUACCACAUCCAAGGAAGGCAGAGGCGCGCA